AUUCCCGGUAACGGGGGCGCGCGGCCGGGGGCAGGUUGGGCCGGAAGAGGGGUCCGGGCCGGCACUGAGGCGGGGAGGGGUGGCAUCUUCCUUACUUUGUCCAUCCUCCGGACUCGCGAUCUUCCUUCCGGAGCCAUGUCAGAAGGAGUGGACUUGAUUGAUAUAUAUGCUGACGAGGAGUUCAACCAGGACCCAGAGUUCAACAAUACAGAUCAGAUUGACCUGUAUGAUGAUGUGCUGACAGCCACCUCACAGCCCUCAGAUGACAGAAGCAGCAGCACUGAGCCACCUCCUCCUGUUCGCCAGGAGCCAUCUCCCAAGCCCAACAACAAGACCCCUGCAAUUCUGUAUACCUACAGUGGCCUGCGUAAUAGACGAGCUGCCGUCUAUGUGGGCAGCUUCUCCUGGCAGGGUCAUCUGUGGGACGAGAUAUCAGAGUGAACACCUUGAACUCUUGGUGGUCAUUAGAUGGUCCUGUGAUAAUGUGGACCACAGACCAGCAGCUGAUCCAGGUUAUUCGCUCUAUAGGAGUCUAUGAUGUGGUGGAGUUGAAAUUUGCAGAGAA
Molecule: small RNA, 565 nt
Filed under: Pongo abelii (Sumatran orangutan)
Lineage: Eukaryota; Metazoa; Chordata; Mammalia; Primates; Hominidae
Description: processed transcript
Source: RNAcentral